UCCGGUGGAAGUCUCAGCUAGAUCGG
Molecule: non-coding RNA, 26 nt
Filed under: Rattus norvegicus (Norway rat)
Lineage: Eukaryota; Metazoa; Chordata; Mammalia; Rodentia; Muridae
Source: RNAcentral